GACGAACGCUGGCGGCGUGCUUAACACAUGCAAGUCGAACGGAAAGGCCCUGCUUUUGUGGGGUGCUCGAGUGGCGAACGGGUGAGUAACACGUGAGUAACCUGCCCUUGACUUUGGGAUAACUUCAGGAAACUGGGGCUAAUACCGGAUAGGAGCUCCUGCUGCAUGGUGGGGGUUGGAAAGUUUCGGCGGUUGGGGAUGGACUCGCGGCUUAUCAGCUUGUUGGUGGGGUAGUGGCUUACCAAGGCUUUGACGGGUAGCCGGCCUGAGAGGGUGACCGGCCACAUUGGGACUGAGGUACGGCCCAGACUCCUACGGGAGGCAGCAGUGGGGAAUAUUGCACAAUGGGCGGAAGCCUGAUGCAGCAACGCCGCGUGCGGGAUGACGGCCUUCGUGUUGUAAACCGCUUUCGCCUGUGACGAAGCGUGAGUGACGGUAAUGGGUAAAGAAGCACCGGCUAACUACGUG
Molecule: ribosomal RNA, 468 nt
Filed under: uncultured bacterium
Lineage: Bacteria
Description: partial 16S ribosomal RNA
Rfam family: Bacterial small subunit ribosomal RNA
Source: RNAcentral